GGUGCUGGCAUUUCAUGUGUGAAGCAUUCACAAGUUAAUAGCAGGGAUGUAACAGAACUCCAGAGGAACACAGAAAGAGAACCUUCUGAUGCACAAGAAGAUUCCUUUGAUGAUGAAGAUAUUUCUUGGUAUCAAAAUUUGGGGACAGAUGACCCCUACAGUUACGCAUCUGACAUUGUCCCUGAGUAUGAUGAUGUCUUGCCUUCUGAAGGUCCCUCGGAUGGAAACCCCAAUACAUCAC
Long non-coding RNA from Boleophthalmus pectinirostris (great blue-spotted mudskipper), 241 nucleotides. RefSeq lists it as uncharacterized. The transcript has 5 exons. Lineage: Eukaryota; Metazoa; Chordata; Actinopteri; Gobiiformes; Gobiidae. The record is from RefSeq and is a predicted model, not a curated record.